Molecule: ribosomal RNA, 336 nt
Filed under: uncultured Glomus
Lineage: Eukaryota; Fungi; Glomeromycota; Glomeromycetes; Glomerales; Glomeraceae
Also listed under: 1 other name
Description: eukaryotic LSU rRNA
Source: RNAcentral
CAGUCGUACCCUUCGGGUAAUCAGCCCUUUCGGGUGCGAUUCUGUGGAGUGUGAGGAGCUUAACACCUUCAUGCUUUGCAUAUUUGUGCUCUUGGGUGUACUUGCCCGUGUGGUUGGUUAACAUCGAUUUUGAUUAUCAUAAAAUGACUGGAGGAAAUGUAGCUUCGAUCUCGUAUUGAAGUGUUAUAGCCUUCGGUAGAUGUGAUGAUCGAGAUUGAGGAUUGCGAACGGAUACCCUUCGGGGCUACCUGUCUGGUCUCUGAUCGUUGCUCUGGUGCCGAAAGCGUGCUUACGGUUAUCGGAAGUCGAUGGUCGAAUAGGUUAGAACGGGUUAAA